UGAGUACUCCCUCCGUCCGAAAAUACUUGUCUUCAAAUUAGAUACAUUCCAUUUUAUCUAUUUUGAAGACAAGUAUUUUCGGAUGGAGGGAGUAUAAC
Molecule: non-coding RNA, 98 nt
Organism: Triticum aestivum (bread wheat)
Lineage: Eukaryota; Viridiplantae; Streptophyta; Magnoliopsida; Poales; Poaceae
Source: Rfam